Molecule: ribosomal RNA, 260 nt
Filed under: uncultured bacterium
Lineage: Bacteria
Description: partial small subunit ribosomal RNA
Rfam family: Bacterial small subunit ribosomal RNA
Source: RNAcentral
AGGACGAACGCUGGCGGCGUGCCUAACACAUGCAAGUGGAGCGACGAACCAGGCUUCGGCCUGGGGCAGAGCCGCGAACGGGUGAGUAACACGUGAGCAACCUGCCCUUAGCUCUGGGAUAGCUCCGGGAAACCGGAAUUAAUACCGGAUAUUACACCGGCUGGCAUCGGCUGGUGUGGAAAGAUUUAUCGGCUAAGGAUGGACUCGCGGCCUAUCAGCUUGUUGGUGGGGUAGAAGCCUACCAAGGCGACGACGGGUAG